AGGGCACCACCAGGAGUGGAGCCUGCGGCUUAAUUUGACUCAACACGGGAAAACUCACCCGGCCCGGACACUGGAAGGAUUGACAGAUUGAGAGCUCUUUCUUGAUUCAGUGGGUGGUGGUGCAUGGCCGUUCUUAGUUGGUGGAGUGAUUUGUCUGGUUAAUUCCGAUAACGAACGAGACUCUAGCCUACUAAAUAGAUCGUCGGCUUACAAACGCCGGCGAGACUUCUUAGAGGGACAGGCGGUGAUUCAACCGCACGAAACAGAGCAAUAACAGGUCUGUGAUGCCCUUAGAUGUCCGGGGCCGCACGCGCGCUACACUGAAGUGAUCAGCGUGCUUUUUCAACCUACUCUGUCAAGAGUGGGGAACCCAAUGAACCUUCUUCGUGAUUGGGAUAGGGGAUUGUAAUUAUUCCCCUUGAACGAGGAAUUCCCGGUAAGCGCGAGUCAUAAGCUCGCGUUGAUUACGUCCCUGCCCUUUGUACACACCGCCCGUCGCUACUACCGAUUGAAUGUUUU
Molecule: ribosomal RNA, 519 nt
Filed under: uncultured eukaryote
Lineage: Eukaryota
Description: SSU rRNA
Rfam family: Eukaryotic small subunit ribosomal RNA
Source: RNAcentral